This 468-nucleotide ribosomal RNA is filed under the name uncultured bacterium. Its description in RNAcentral is "partial 16S ribosomal RNA". It matches the Rfam family "Bacterial small subunit ribosomal RNA", at positions 28 to 507 of the family's 1533-position model. The record is from RNAcentral.
GACGAACGCUGGCGGCGUGCUUAACACAUGCAAGUCGAACGGAAAGGCCCUGCUUUUGUGGGGUGCUCGAGUGGCGAACGGGUGAGUAACACGUGAGUAACCUGCCCUUGACUUUGGGAUAACUUCAGGAAACUGGGGCUAAUACCGGAUAGGAGCUCCUGCUGCAUGGUGGGGGUUGGAAAGUUUCGGCGGUUGGGGAUGGACUCGCGGCUUAUCAGCUUGUUGGUGGGGUAGUGGCUUACCAAGGCUUUGACGGGUAGCCGGCCUGAGAGGGUGACCGGCCAAAUUGGGACUGAGGUACGGCCCAGACUCCUACGGGAGGCAGAAGUGGGGAAUAUUGCACAAUGGGCGGAAGCCUGAUGCAGCAACGCCGCGUGCGGGAUGACGGCCUUCGGGUUGUAAACCGCUUUCGCCUGUGACGAAGCGUGAGUGACGGUAAUGGGUAAAGAAGCACCGGCUAACUACGUG